This 626-nucleotide ribosomal RNA is filed under the name uncultured bacterium. Its description in RNAcentral is "bacterial SSU rRNA". It matches the Rfam family "Bacterial small subunit ribosomal RNA", at positions 37 to 709 of the family's 1533-position model. The record is from RNAcentral.
UGGCGGCAGGCUUAACACAUGCAAGUCGAGCGGGCCCUUCGGGGUCAGCGGCGGACGGGUGAGUAACGCGUGGGAACGUGCCUUCUGGUCUGGAAUAACCCUGGGAAACUAGGGCUAAUACCGGAUACGCCCUUUUGGGGAAAGGUUUACUGCCGGAAGAUCGGCCCGCGUCUGAUUAGCUAGUUGGUGGGGUAACGGCCUACCAAGGCGACGAUCAGUAGCUGGUCUGAGAGGAUGAUCAGCCACACUGGGACUGAGACACGGCCCAGACUCCUACGGGAGGCAGCAGUGGGGAAUAUUGGACAAUGGGCGCAAGCCUGAUCCAGCCAUGCCGCGUGAGUGAUGAAGGCCUUAGGGUUGUAAAGCUCUUUUAUCCGGGACGAUAAUGACGGUACCGGAGGAAUAAGCCCCGGCUAACUUCGUGCCAGCAGCCGCGGUAAUACGAAGGGGGCUAGCGUUGCUCGGAAUCACUGGGCGUAAAGGGCGCGUAGGCGGCGUUUUAAGUCGGGGGUGAAAGCCUGUGGCUCAACCACAGAAUGGCCUUCGAUACUGGGACGCUUGAGUAUGGUAGAGGUUGGUGGAACUGCGAGUGUAGAGGUGAAAUUCGUAGAUAUUCGCAAGAACAC